GUGGGGAAUCUUCCGCAAUGGACGAAAGUCUGACGGAGCAACGCCGCGUGAGUGAUGAAGGUCUUCGGAUUGUAAAGCUCUGUUAAUCGGGACGAAAGAGCCUAGUGUGAAUAAUGCUAGGAAGUGACGGUACCGGAAUAGAAAGCCACGGCUAACUACGUGCCAGCAGCCGCGGUAAUACGUAUGUGGCAAGCGUUGUCCGGAAUUAUUGGGCGUAAAGCGCGCGCAGGCGGAUCUGCCAGUCUGUCUUAAAAGUUCGGGGCUUAACCCCGUGAUGGGAUGGAAACUACAGAUCUAGAGUAUCGGAGAGGAAAGUGGAAUUCCUAGUGUAGCGGUGAAAUGCGUAGAUAUUAGGAAGAACACCAGUGGCGAAGGCGACUUUCUGGACGAAAACUGACGCUGAGGCGCGAAAGCCAGGGGAGCGAACGGGAUUAGAUACCCUUGUAGUCC
RNAcentral lists this ribosomal RNA (450 nucleotides) under uncultured bacterium. RNAcentral's name for it is "partial 16S ribosomal RNA". It matches the Rfam family "Bacterial small subunit ribosomal RNA", at positions 354 to 796 of the family's 1533-position model. The record is from RNAcentral.